UCCCCCCCCCCCCUCUUUGUCCACCCCUCUGCAUGUGUGUACACGUCUGCAUUGCUAUUGUAAAUACCCUUCUAAUACCCGGAAGUGAAUUGUGAAUUUCCCAUGAUUGUAACCAUUGAUUUCUAGACCUGAUUGUUUGGCUGAGCUUGCCCCUUCCUCCUAAUGCACACCCUUAUAGAAUUGUUUGUAUUACUUAGAUUUGACUGAAGAGUUCUGAAGGAAGGGGAAUCAUUCUCCCUAACCUAGUUUUUUGUUUGAAAUGUUGGUUGUUUUAUUUUUCAUUCAAUGCAUAAUGACUCAUUUCUUCUACACUUUGCCAUAAGCAUCCAUUGUUUUAGUUACUAUUCUAAUAUAUAUUCUUUACAU
Molecule: non-coding RNA, 366 nt
Organism: Biomphalaria pfeifferi
Lineage: Eukaryota; Metazoa; Mollusca; Gastropoda; Planorbidae
Source: the annotation of a GenBank genome assembly